GAUGAACGCUGGCGGCGUGCCUAAUACAUGCAAGUCGAGCGAACGGACGAGAAGCUUGCUUCUCUGAUGUUAGCGGCGGACGGGUGAGUAACACGUGGAUAACCUACCUAUAAGACUGGGAUAACUUCGGGAAACCGGAGCUAAUACCGGAUAAUAUUUUGAACCGCAUGGUUCAAAAGUGAAAGACGGUCUUGCUGUCACUUAUAGAUGGAUCCGCGCUGCAUUAGCUAGUUGGUAAGGUAACGGCUUACCAAGGCAACGAUGCGUAGCCGACCUGAGAGGGUGAUCGGCCACACUGGAACUGAGACACGGUCCAGACACCUACGGGAGGCAGCAGUAGGGAAUCUUCCGCAAUGGGCGAAAGCCUGACGGAUCAACGCCGCGUGAGUGAUGAAGGUCUUCGGAUCGUAAAACUCUGUUAUUAGGGAAGAACAAAUGUGUAAGUAACUAUGCACGUCUUGACGGUACCUAAUCAGAAAGCCACGGCUAACUACGUG
This 497-nucleotide ribosomal RNA is filed under the name uncultured bacterium. Its description in RNAcentral is "partial 16S ribosomal RNA". It matches the Rfam family "Bacterial small subunit ribosomal RNA", at positions 28 to 507 of the family's 1533-position model. The record is from RNAcentral.